Non-coding RNA from Morus notabilis, 107 nucleotides. Lineage: Eukaryota; Viridiplantae; Streptophyta; Magnoliopsida; Rosales; Moraceae. The record is from Rfam.
AGUCCGUGGUAUGGACACUUCCUUAAUAAUUCCUUAAAGCGUUCCCAUGAUUCACAUAGAGCUUCCCCCUCCAUCUGCUGAAAUGAUGUGAUAUCAUUCCUGAGUUU